AUUGAUGAAAACAUCGAUGCAUCGAUGUUUUUGAAAUUUUCUAAAUCAUCGAUGUUUUUUUUCAACCAUCGAUGUUUCUGUGCCGUAACUAUUAAGAAAAAGGGCAAAGGAAAGUAAUAGAACAUUCAAUUGGUGCAGGCGACGGCGCUAAGAUGGACAAAUUCUUGAUGCAAUAAACAAAGGAAAACUGUGACGCUCCGUCUCCGAAGAGGAGAAGAGAAACAUCUAGUGUUUGGCAGCACUUUAAAAAGGCAGCGGACAAGGCAAAGGCAAUUUGUAACCACUGCGGAAAAACUUUGAAAACAGCAGGCAAUACCACUAACUUGAUGGAUCACCUCAAGCACAUCCAUCCAAAUUAUAAAGAGGAGGAGAAUACCCUAGAUUACCCAAAGUUGGAUGUGUUCCUGCACCGUAGUGUGGAGUAUGCGCCAGAUUCGCAACACAAGAAAAUGCUGGAUAAAUACGUCAUGCUUAUGAUAGCCAAAGACGUACAACCUUUUAGCAUGGUUGCUGACGAAGGCUUUCUGGACCUUAUGAAAAAGAUGGACCCGAAAUACAAACUGCCGAGCCGCAAUUACUUCCGCGACGUAAUGCUCCCCAAGUUGUACGACGAACUAAAAGAACACCUUAAAAGCGAACUUAACGAGGUCAAUUACGUGCCAAUCACAACAGACGGAUGGACUUCCCUGGCGAAUGAAGCAUAUGUAUAUAACCGUAACUUGCCAUUUCGUAAACAAAAACUUUGAGCUGAUUACAGCAGUUUUGUCAGCAGCAACACUUGCAACGCCCACUAACUUUAAAAAUUUCUCCUGGCUAAACUAGCGCGUCCCCAAAAUAAUUUUUACAUCAAAAUUCAUGAUUCAUCGCCCUCUAAAUAUGGAUUUUUGUUAAUUAGUCGGGUCGUUCCAGCCCGACUAUUUAAAAAUUACCAAAAUUUAAUUUUAAUUUUUUAAAACAUCGAUGUUUCAUCGAUGUUUUGGGUGAAAAACAUCGAAAACAUCGAUGUCUCAAUACAUCGAUGUUUUGACACCUCUAUUACUCAGUCUGAUAUUAUUCGCUUUAGUAAGGGUAUAGGUGCAGUGGCACGCGCCACCAGCGAAGAAAAAACAAAAGAAAUCAUGUAAAGGGGGUAGAGGAAGACUUGUUGCAUUCUGUUUGAGUUAUUGAAAGGGAAGCAAGCCAUUUAAAUUGUGCGCAGCAGAUUUACUUUUUUCGUUCCUUAAAGUGAAAAAAAAGUCAGGCAAAUUUUGAAGGUGUUUUAUUGGUUCCGUUAGCCGAAAGUGAAUGAUAAAAUAAAAAUCCCCGAUAGGGUUAUACACAGCUCUAAAAGGUAAAUAUACAAAUAAACAAGUAAAACGCAUUUUUUAACCAUAUGCCGCGUACAUUUUUUCAGGAGAGUUUCCUAAGGAUUCGGAGGACCCGAACAAAGGUUUAAGGAAGGCGAUGACCAAUGUUAAAAGCAAAUUAACGUAACAUAAAACUAAGCUUACUAACAAUAAUUGUCCUAUAACAGAAACCCCAAAUAACACAAUUUAGUUAAAAUGAUUUUAAUAGUAAAUAAAAAUGUAUGUAUUAUAAA
Drosophila suzukii is the source of this 1579-nucleotide non-coding RNA. NCBI's taxonomy places the organism in Eukaryota, Metazoa, Arthropoda, Insecta, Diptera, Drosophilidae. The record is from RefSeq and is a predicted model, not a curated record.